UCGAGACUCUGCUUUUGGCCAUGCUUUGCUGCCAUUUGGCAAGGCGACCCUGGCCUUGUGUGCUUAGAGUCAUCUGACCGACGAUGGCCGGAAGCUGACUAUGACAGAGGCUUGAGAUAUUGCAGAUCGGGUUGGGGAAGGUCAAAAUAAUUAGUCAUUGGAGAUGAUAUGAGGAAAGGAAGGAGGCGGAGGUUGGGGGAGUGGGUGCAACAGAAACAGUUCUAGUGUUGGAGCCGAGGAAGCCAACUCUGAAACAUUUGGACCUUUGUUGUCUGACAUUGCUUUUGCCACUCCUUCUUCUUUCCUCCCACCUUUACCUUCCCCACCACCUCCUCCAAACUCCCCUGCCCUCUAUCUCUGGCCCCACUGAUGACCCCUCCAUGUGAGUCGUAGGCUUUUACUACCCAUGAUUUCUUUUCUCCAAGCAAAAGAAAGAAGAGUUUAUUUCAUUCUCAGCAGCAUCCCUGGCCAGCCUCGUCAAAGGCUGUCAAAUAAACACAUUGCUAGGAGGAUCACCUCAACCUGUAGGAACUUCCUUCCUGCCAAGAAGCUGGUUCAUUCAUCACCAAGCAUCAUCAUCAUGGAAUUCUCACCCUGCUGGAGGUUCGAGCCAAGACAUAGAAAGAGGACAUUACCUGGGGCAGGAAUCAAUUGCCUAUCACUGGGGAUGCCUGCAGAUCAUUGUCCAGAGUGGCUGCUGUUCACUGAGUGUUUCCUCUGUGCCGGGCACCUUGCACACCUUAUUUUCAGUCUCCGCAGCUGCCUUGUUGAGGUUGGCUCUCUAUGCUUCUGUUUCACAGUUGGGGAAACUGAGGUUCAGAGAUGUGAAUUAAUUUUCUCAAAGUAACAUUAGGUAUUGGUAAGAUUUCAUUUAUCCAUUCACUAUUAAAUAUUAUUAAGUAAUUACAGUGCUUUAAGAACUCCAUGUAAAUGGUGGAUUUGAGGCCAAACUUUAAAAGCUGAAUUACAUAAGGAGUUAACAUUGCAAAAAGCUUAGAAAUUUAUGUUCCAGGUGGAGCGAACAGAGGUUGUGUCUUUUCGGUUACAAGUAAUAAAAUCCAGAGGCUAUCUCAAGGGAAAAAUAAAGCACUAGAUGGUCUACCAAAGAUAGAGGGGCAGGUGGAUUUUGGGAAGGGGCAAGAGUGAACAGCUAGAAAAAUGUGGCUUACGUUUUCUGUCUUAUCUGCCCCUUAGCUUCAUAACUUUCUUUUUCUCAUGUGUAGAGUGAUCAAAGAUGACCACCACCAAACUUUCAUAUUAAAGAUUAAAACACAAAAAUAGGCCAGACAGAGUGGCUCAUGCCUGUAAUCCCAGCAUCUUGAGAGGGUGAGGCAGAAGGAUCGCUUGAGCCCAGGAGUUUAGGUUCAGCCUGGGCAACAUAGCAAGAUCCUGUCACUAUAAAUAGUAACAAGAUUAGGUGGACAUUAUGGUUCAUACCUGUGGUCCCAGCUCUUCAGGGGGCUGAGGCAGGAAGAUCCCUUGAGCUCAGAAGUUUGAGGCUGCUAUGAGCUAUGAUUACGUCGCUGCACUCCAGCUUGUGUGACAGAGCAAGACCCUGUCUACAAAAAAAAAAAAAAAAAGAACAUCUAAAUAGAUAAAUAGAGCAACUCUCCCUCUCAGAAUCCUGGGCACAAAAUUUCUAUUGGCUUAGCUUCUGUCAAGUGUUUAAUCCUAGUCACAUAUCAGAGGCUGCGGGUGGAUGGGGUCAUAUGAUAUAAUACGGCCUCAGGGGGAUUGAUCACUGUGGGUGAAGAACUCAGUUAAGGUGGCAUUAGAAGGUGGACAGAUAGCUUGAAAGAUGCUGCCUCACCCAGUUACAGAGCUAAAAACCAGACCUAAAUGUGUCUAAGUCAAAACACUACAGUUGACAACCAACUUCAUAUCUUCUGUCAUUUCAGAGUAGCACGACACUGGUCAAGAAAGGCCCACAUGUUGGUAAUUUGUGCCUCCCAUAUGGUCAAUGCUACAUUGCAAGGAAGCAUGCUGAGCACGACAGUAUGCUCUACACCUGUGUGGCUACCAUGUUUUGGUUGCCUCCAUAUAAUGGGGUGGUUAAGAGUCCGGGUUCUGGGGCUGGAACACUGGAAUUUGAGCCCCAGCUCUGCCACUGUGUGCCCUUGAGAAAGCUAACUGCCCUCAUUACAUGUGUUGGUCUUCUCAUCCAUAACAGGCAGAUAAUAUUAGUUUCUAGCUCAAGCGGUUAUUGCCAAGAUCAAAUGAAUGAGUACAGAUUAAGACUUAUUGAACAACAGCCAAUAAAGGCAAGUUAUUUUGAGAUACUCAGACUGGAC
This is a long non-coding RNA of Pan paniscus (pygmy chimpanzee), 2291 nucleotides long. NCBI's taxonomy places the organism in Eukaryota, Metazoa, Chordata, Mammalia, Primates, Hominidae. The record is from Ensembl.